RNAcentral lists this ribosomal RNA (1343 nucleotides) under uncultured bacterium. RNAcentral's name for it is "16S ribosomal RNA". It matches the Rfam family "Bacterial small subunit ribosomal RNA", at positions 28 to 1378 of the family's 1533-position model. The record is from RNAcentral.
GACGAACGCUGGCGGCGUGCUUAACACAUGCAAGUCGAACGGAAAGGCCCUGCUUUUGUGGGGUGCUCGAGUGGCGAACGGGUGAGUAACACGUGAGUAACCUGCCCUUGACUUUGGGAUAACUUCAGGAAACUGGGGCUAAUACCGGAUAGGAGCUCCUGCUGCAUGGUGGGGGUUGGAAAGUUUCGGCGGUUGGGGAUGGACUCGCGGCUUAUCAGCUUGUUGGUGGGGUAGUGGCUUACCAAGGCUUUGACGGGUAGCCGGCCUGAGAGGGUGACCGGCCACAUUGGGACUGAGAUACGGCCCAGACUCCUACGGGAGGCAGCAGUGGGGAAUAUUGCACAAUGGGCGGAAGCCUGAUGCAGCAACGCCGCGUGCGGGAUGACGGCCUUCGGGUUGUAAACCGCUUUCGCCUGUGACGAAGCGUGAGUGACGGUAAUGGGUAAAGAAGCACCGGCUAACUACGUGCCAGCAGCCGCGGUGAUACGUAGGGUGCGAGCGUUGUCCGGAUUUAUUGGGCGUAAAGGGCUCGUAGGUGGUUGAUCGCGUCGGAAGUGUAAUCUUGGGGCUUAACCCUGAGCGUGCUUUCGAUACGGGUUGACUUGAGGAAGGUAGGGGAGAAUGGAAUUCCUGGUGGAGCGGUGGAAUGCGCAGAUAUCAGGAGGAACACCAGUGGCGAAGGCGGUUCUCUGGGCCUUUCCUGACGCUGAGGAGCGAAAGCGUGGGGAGCGAACAGGCUUAGAUACCCUGGUAGUCCACGCUGUAAACGGUGGGUACUAGGUGUGGGGUCCAUUCCACGGGUUCCGUGCCGUAGCUAACGCUUUAAGUACCCCGCCUGGGGAGUACGGCCGCAAGGCUAAAACUCAAAGGAAUUGACGGGGCCCCGCACAAGCGGCGGAGCAUGCGGAUUAAUUCGAUGCAACGCGUAGAACCUUACCUGGGUUUGACAUGGAUCGGGAGCGCUCAGAGAUGGGUGUGCCUCUUUUGGGGUCGGUUCACAGGUGGUGCAUGGCUGUCGUCAGCUCGUGUCGUGAGAUGUUGGGUUAAGUCCCGCAACGAGCGCAACCCUUGUUCACUGUUGCCAGCACGUUAUGGUGGGGACUCAGUGGAGACCGCCGGGGUCAACUCGGAGGAAGGUGGGGAUGACGUCAAGUCAUCAUGCCCCUUAUGUCCAGGGCUUCACGCAUGCUACAAUGGCUGGUACAGAGAGUGGCGAGCCUGUGAGGGUGAGCGAAUCUCGGAAAGCCGGUCUCAGUUCGGAUUGGGGUCUGCAACUCGACCUCAUGAAGUCGGAGUCGAUAGUAAUCGCAGAUCAGCAACGCUGCGGUGAAUACGUUCCCGGG